RNAcentral lists this transfer RNA (71 nucleotides) under Candidatus Moranbacteria bacterium RBG_13_45_13. Its description in RNAcentral is "tRNA-Pro". It matches the Rfam family "tRNA". Rfam says of the family: Transfer RNA (tRNA) molecules are approximately 80 nucleotides in length. Their secondary structure includes four short double-helical elements and three loops (D, anti-codon, and T loops). The record is from RNAcentral. RNAcentral also lists the same sequence under 1 other name. Lineage: Bacteria; Candidatus Moraniibacteriota.
CGGGAUAUAGUAUAACGGCAGUACGCGUGCAUGGGGUGCAUGUAGCCCCGGUUCAAUUCCGGGUAUCCCGA